This 433-nucleotide ribosomal RNA is filed under the name uncultured bacterium. RNAcentral describes it as "bacterial SSU rRNA". It matches the Rfam family "Bacterial small subunit ribosomal RNA", at positions 29 to 507 of the family's 1533-position model. The record is from RNAcentral.
AACGAACGCUGGCGGCAUGCCUAACACAUGCAAGUCGAACGAAGGCUUCGGCCUUAGUGGCGCACGGGUGCGUAACGCGUGGGAAUCUGCCCAGAGCUACGGAAUAACCCCUCGAAAGGGGUGCUAAUACCGUAUGAUGUCGCAAGACCAAAGAUUUAUCGGCUUUGGAUGAGCCCGCGUAGGAUUAGCUAGUUGGUGGGGUAAAGGCCUACCAAGGCGACGAUCCUUAGCUGGUCUGAGAGGAUGAUCAGCCACACUGGGACUGAGACACGGCCCAGACUCCUACGGGAGGCAGCAGUGGGGAAUAUUGGACAAUGGGCGAAAGCCUGAUCCAGCAAUGCCGCGUGAGUGAUGAAGGCCUUAGGGUUGUAAAGCUCUUUUACCCGGGAAGAUAAUGACUGUACCGGGAGAAUAAGCCCCGGCUAACUCCGUG